Arachis ipaensis is the source of this 221-nucleotide non-coding RNA. The record is from RefSeq and is a predicted model, not a curated record. Lineage: Eukaryota; Viridiplantae; Streptophyta; Magnoliopsida; Fabales; Fabaceae.
GAUGGGUUCCACAAAUUUUGGAAUAGUGCGCAAGCAGCUGCGCGACUCUAAAGAGAACAGUGAAGAACCAUCAAGAGUUGAAGUUUUCAUAGCAACUCGCACAAGUAAAAAAGGAAAAGAAAUUGAUGCUAAAACACAAAGCACAAUUGCUGAACUUCAAACCCGCAUAGAGGCAGGGGAAAAUGAUGAAGAUGCAUUUGUAGGAGUGCUAGGAAAGGACC